This 465-nucleotide ribosomal RNA is filed under the name uncultured bacterium. Its description in RNAcentral is "partial 16S ribosomal RNA". It matches the Rfam family "Bacterial small subunit ribosomal RNA", at positions 28 to 504 of the family's 1533-position model. The record is from RNAcentral.
GACGAACGCUGGCGGCGUGCUUAACACAUGCAAGUCGAACGGAAAGGCCUUGCUUUUGUGGGGUGCUCAAGUGGCGAACGGGUGAGUAACACGUGAGUAACCUGCCCUUGACUUUGGGAUAACUUCAGGAAACUGGGGCUAAUACCGGAUAGGAGCUCCUGCUGCAUGGUGGGGGUUGGAAAGUUUCGGCGGUUGGGGAUGGACUCGCGGCUUAUCAGCUUGUUGGUGGGGUAGUGGCUUACCAAGGCUUUGACGGGUAGCCGGCCUGAGAGGGUGACCGGCCACAUUGGGACUGAGAUACGGCCCAGACUCCUACGGGAGGCAGCAGUGGGGAAUAUUGCACAAUGGGCGGAAGCCUGAUGCAGCAACGCCGCGGGCGGGAUGACGGCCUUCGGGUUGUAAACCGCUUUCGCCUGUGACGAAGCGUGAGUGACGGUAAUGGGUAAAGAAGCACCGGCUAACUAC